AAUUGACUUUUUGGUUUUGGAAAAAUUUGUUGUAAUUGUUUGCUUACUUUUUGUGGCGAGUUUCAUGAAGAAAGUGUAGUUUUGGAUAAAUUUUGGAUUAUAAAAACACACUCGCCAUAUUUCCCGAUUUACUCACGCACACGCCCGUAUGUUGCACAUUGAAAAUUUGAUAUUUUCAUUCGCGCUCUCUCACUCACUCUUCUUGCGUAGUAUCACGCGCCCGACGCGUUCCUCGCGUUUCAGUUCAUUAAAAUUACAAUAUUUAUUCAAUUUUCUUCCACGGCGCGCUGUUAUUUUGUUGGAUUUACGGAUUUUUCUUGGAAGCGCCUACCGUUUUUUGUUGUUUCGUUUUUCGCGGACGCAGUGUUACCGUGGAUUUAUCUUUGAGACAUACCGUCCCACCCUCGGAAAUAUUCCGAAGUACUCCUUGUCGCAUGCAAAAUAUACCAAAAG
RNAcentral lists this long non-coding RNA (453 nucleotides) under Drosophila guanche. The record is from RNAcentral. Lineage: Eukaryota; Metazoa; Arthropoda; Insecta; Diptera; Drosophilidae.